This 506-nucleotide ribosomal RNA is filed under the name uncultured bacterium. RNAcentral's name for it is "partial 16S ribosomal RNA". It matches the Rfam family "Bacterial small subunit ribosomal RNA", at positions 29 to 523 of the family's 1533-position model. The record is from RNAcentral.
AGUGAACGCUGGCGGUAGGCCUAACACAUGCAAGUCGAACGGCAGCACAGAGGAGCUUGCUCCUUGGGUGGCGAGUGGCGGACGGGUGAGGAAUACAUCGGAAUCUACUCUGUCGUGGGGGAUAACGUAGGGAAACUUACGCUAAUACCGCAUACGACAUACGGGUGAAAGCAGGGGAUCUUCGAACCUUGCGCGAUUGAAUGAGUCGAGGUCGGAUUAGCUAUUUGGGGGGGUAAAGGCCCACCAAGGCCACGAUCCGUAGCUGGUCUGAGAGGAUGAUCAGCCAAGCUGGAACUGAGACACGGUCCAGACUCCUACGGGAGGCAGCAGUGGGGAAUAUUGGACAAUGGGCGCAAGCCUGAUCCAGCCAUACCGCGUGGGUGAAGAAGGCCUUCGGGUUGUAAAGCCCUUUUGUUGGGAAAGAAAUCCAUCUGGUUAAUACCCGGGUGGGAUGACGGUACCCAAAGAAUAAGCACCGGCUAACUUCGUGCCAGCCGCCGCCGUAA